RNAcentral lists this ribosomal RNA (1370 nucleotides) under unidentified marine bacterioplankton. RNAcentral describes it as "bacterial SSU rRNA". It matches the Rfam family "Bacterial small subunit ribosomal RNA", at positions 9 to 1371 of the family's 1533-position model. The record is from RNAcentral.
GAGUUUGAUCAUGGCUCAGAUUGAACGCUGGCGGCAGGCCUAACACAUGCAAGUCGAGCGGUAGCACAGAGAGCUUGCUCUCGGGUGACGAGCGGCGGACGGGUGAGUAAUGUCUGGGAAACUGCCUGAUGGAGGGGGAUAACUACUGGAAACGGUAGCUAAUACCGCAUAAUGUCGCAAGACCAAAGAGGGGGACCUUCGGGCCUCUUGCCAUCAGAUGUGCCCAGAUGGGAUUAGCUAGUAGGUGGGGUAACGGCUCACCUAGGCGACGAUCCCUAGCUGGUCUGAGAGGAUGACCAGCCACACUGGAACUGAGACACGGUCCAGACUCCUACGGGAGGCAGCAGUGGGGAAUAUUGCACAAUGGGCGCAAGCCUGAUGCAGCCAUGCCGCGUGUAUGAAGAAGGCCUUCGGGUUGUAAAGUACUUUCAGCGGGGAGGAAGGCGAUAAGGUUAAUAACCUUGUCGAUUGACGUUACCCGCAGAAGAAGCACCGGCUAACUCCGUGCCAGCAGCCGCGGUAAUACGGAGGGUGCAAGCGUUAAUCGGAAUUACUGGGCGUAAAGCGCACGCAGGCGGUCUGUCAAGUCGGAUGUGAAAUCCCCGGGCUCAACCUGGGAACUGCAUUCGAAACUGGCAGGCUAGAGUCUUGUAGAGGGGGGUAGAAUUCCAGGUGUAGCGGUGAAAUGCGUAGAGAUCUGGAGGAAUACCGGUGGCGAAGGCGGCCCCCUGGACAAAGACUGACGCUCAGGUGCGAAAGCGUGGGGAGCAAACAGGAUUAGAUACCCUGGUAGUCCACGCCGUAAACGAUGUCGACUUGGAGGUUGUGCCCUUGAGGCGUGGCUUCCGGAGCUAACGCGUUAAGUCGACCGCCUGGGGAGUACGGCCGCAAGGUUAAAACUCAAGUGAAUUGACGGGGGCCCGCACAAGCGGUGGAGCAUGUGGUUUAAUUCGAUGCAACGCGAAGAACCUUACCUACUCUUGACAUCCAGAGAACUUUCCAGAGAUGGAUUGGUGCCUUCGGGAACUCUGAGACAGGUGCUGCAUGGCUGUCGUCAGCUCGUGUUGUGAAAUGUUGGGUUAAGUCCCGCAACGAGCGCAACCCUUAUCCUUUGUUGCCAGCGGUUAGGCCGGGAACUCAAAGGAGACUGCCAGUGAUAAACUGGAGGAAGGUGGGGAUGACGUCAAGUCAUCAUGGCCCUUACGAGUAGGGCUACACACGUGCUACAAUGGCGCAUACAAAGAGAAGCGACCUCGCGAGAGCAAGCGGACCUCAUAAAGUGCGUCGUAGUCCGGAUUGGAGUCUGCAACUCGACUCCAUGAAGUCGGAAUCGCUAGUAAUCGUAGAUCAGAAUGCUACGGUGAAUACGU